CAGGAAUAUGUAUCGUGCCCG
This 21-nucleotide non-coding RNA is filed under the name Arabidopsis thaliana (thale cress). The record is from RNAcentral. Lineage: Eukaryota; Viridiplantae; Streptophyta; Magnoliopsida; Brassicales; Brassicaceae.